CCUACGGGAGGCAGCAGUGGGGAAUAUUGGGCAAUGGACGAAAGCCUGACCCAGCAACGCCGCGUGAAGGAAGAAGGCUUUCGGGUUUUAAACUUCUUUUGACUGGGGAGAGCAGAGGACGGUACCUGUCGAAUAAGCCACGGCUAACUACGGGCCAGCAGCCGCGGUAAUACGCAGGUAGCCGGCGUUGUCCGGAUUUACUGGGUGUAAAGGGCGUGUAGCCGGGCUGACAAGUCAGUUGUGAAAUCCGGGGGCUCAACCCCCGAAUUGCAGUUGAAACUGUUGGUCUUGAGUUUCGGCGAGGCAGGCGGAAUUCAUAGUGUAGCGGUGAAAUGCGUAGAUAUUAGGAGGAACACCAGUGGCGAAGGC
This 369-nucleotide ribosomal RNA is filed under the name uncultured bacterium. Its description in RNAcentral is "partial 16S ribosomal RNA". It matches the Rfam family "Bacterial small subunit ribosomal RNA", at positions 338 to 722 of the family's 1533-position model. The record is from RNAcentral.